CGUAGGAGGCGAGCGUUAUCCGGAUUCACUGGGCGUAAAGCGCGUGCAGGCGGUUUGGUAAGUUGAUCGUGAAAGCUCCCGGCUCAACUGGGAGAGGUCGGUCAAUACUACCGAACUAGAGAGCAGAAGAGGAAGAUGGAAUUCCCGGUGUAGUGGUGAAAUGCGUAGAUAUCGGGAGGAACACCAGUGGCGAAGGCGAUCUUCUGGUCUGUUUCUGACGCUCAGACGCGACAGCUAGGGUAGUAAACGGGAUUAGAGACCCCGGUAAUCCUAGCCGCAAACGAUGUGAACUUGGCGUCGGUGGCUUAAACACCAUCGGUGCCGAAGCAAACGCGAUAAGUUCACCGCCUGGGGACUACGGCCGCAAGGUUA
Molecule: ribosomal RNA, 372 nt
Filed under: uncultured organism
Description: bacterial SSU rRNA
Rfam family: Bacterial small subunit ribosomal RNA
Source: RNAcentral